RNAcentral lists this ribosomal RNA (492 nucleotides) under uncultured bacterium. RNAcentral's name for it is "partial 16S ribosomal RNA". It matches the Rfam family "Bacterial small subunit ribosomal RNA", at positions 29 to 507 of the family's 1533-position model. The record is from RNAcentral.
AUUGAACGCUGGCGGCAUGCUUUACACAUGCAAGUCGAACGAUAACAGGCCUUCGGGUGCUGACGAGUGGCGCACGGGUGAGUAAUGCAUCGGAACGUACCCAGAGGUGGGGGAUAACGCAGCGAAAGCUGUGCUAAUACCGCAUGUGAUCUGAGGAUGAAAGCGGGGGACCGAGCAGCAAUGUUUGGCCUCGCGCCUUUGGAGCGGCCGAUGUCGGAUUAGCUAGUUGGUGGGGUAAAGGCCUACCAAGGCGACGAUCCGUAGCUGGUCUGAGAGGACGACCAGCCACACUGGGACUGAGACACGGCCCAGACUCCUACGGGAGGCAGCAGUGGGGAAUUUUGGACAAUGGGCGCGAGCCUGAUCCAGCAAUGCCGCGUGCGGGAAGAAGGCCUUCGGGUUGUAAACCGCUUUUGGCAGGAACGAAACGGUGUCCGCUAAUACCGGGCGCUAAUGACGGUACCUGCAGAAUAAGCACCGGCUAACUACGUG